RNAcentral lists this ribosomal RNA (213 nucleotides) under Triticum aestivum (bread wheat). RNAcentral describes it as "partial small subunit ribosomal RNA". The record is from RNAcentral. Lineage: Eukaryota; Viridiplantae; Streptophyta; Magnoliopsida; Poales; Poaceae.
AUGACCAAGUCCGGCGAAGUCAUCGGCGAGAUCGGGGUCCUGUGCUACAGGCCUCAGCUCUUCACGGCCCGGACAAAGUCCCUGUGCCAGCUCCUGCGCCUGGACCGCGCCAACUUUCUCAAGGUCGUCCAGUCUAAUGUUGGGGAUGCCACCAUAAUCAUGAACAACCUCAUCCAGGUCAGCUUUCAGUAUAUAUGCUCCCUCCCAACAUGA